UACGGAGGGGGCUAGCGUUGUUCGGAAUGACUGGGCGUAAAGGGCGCGUAGGCGGUUUAUCAAGUGAGGCGUGAAAGCCCCGGGCUUAACCUGGGAAUUGCGUUUCAUACUAGUAGACUUGAGGACGAGAGAGGAAAGUGGAAUUCCUAGUGUAGAGGUGAAAUUCGUAGAUAUUAGGAAGAACACCAGUGGCGAAGGCGACUUUCUGGCUCGUAUCUGACGCUGAGGCGCGAAAGCGUGGGGAGCAAACAGG
Molecule: ribosomal RNA, 253 nt
Filed under: uncultured bacterium
Lineage: Bacteria
Description: partial 16S ribosomal RNA
Rfam family: Bacterial small subunit ribosomal RNA
Source: RNAcentral